RNAcentral lists this ribosomal RNA (266 nucleotides) under uncultured bacterium. Its description in RNAcentral is "partial 16S ribosomal RNA". It matches the Rfam family "Bacterial small subunit ribosomal RNA", at positions 793 to 1055 of the family's 1533-position model. The record is from RNAcentral.
GUCCACGCCGUAAACGAUGGACACUAGGCGUCGGGGGGAGCGACCCCCUCGGUGCCGUCGCUAACGCAGUAAGUGUCCCGCCUGGGGGAGUACGGCCGCAAGGCUGAAACUCAAAGGAAUUGACGGGGGCCCGCACAAGCGGUGGAGCAUGUGGUUUAAUUCGAAGCAACGCGAAGAACCUUACCUGGGCUUGACAUGCUGGUGUAAGCCGGUGGAAACAUCGGCCCCUCUUCGGAGCGCCAGCACAGGUGCUGCAUGGCUGUCGU